CUGCAUUUUAUAUAGCAAUAGAUCUGCAGCCUACAUGAAAACCCAGCAGUACCACAAGGCAUUGGAUGAUGCAAUCAAAGCCCGACUCCUCAAUCCCAAAUGGCCAAAGGUCCUUAUAUCAGAGAACUGGGUAAAGCCAUGUGCCCCAAUGAUGGAAGCAAGUGAUCUUAAAGCAUCAAUGCUAAAAUCCUAACAGCAAACAUUAGAAUGGAGGCUUCCAGACCCAGACUGCAGCUACCCAGUAAGGAAUAAGUUUAAGAAGAAUAAGAUUAUUGUCAGUCUUCUUCCAUACCAGCAUUGUAUAAAAUUUUUAAUUGUGCUGACGAGAACAUGAAGAAUUGGCAAGAAUAUAUUUAAAGGCAACUGAAUGAGAAAAGAUCUGGGAAAUACAGGAUGGAAGUGAAGUUAAUUAGAAAUUAAACAAAUAAUGCAUGUUAAAAUAGCAGUUUGUACAUUCAUAUUUAAAUUAA
Molecule: non-coding RNA, 470 nt
Organism: Myodes glareolus (Bank vole)
Lineage: Eukaryota; Metazoa; Chordata; Mammalia; Rodentia; Cricetidae
Source: RefSeq, a predicted model, not a curated record